RNAcentral lists this ribosomal RNA (491 nucleotides) under uncultured bacterium. Its description in RNAcentral is "partial 16S ribosomal RNA". It matches the Rfam family "Bacterial small subunit ribosomal RNA", at positions 29 to 506 of the family's 1533-position model. The record is from RNAcentral.
AGUGAACGCUGGCGGUAGGCCUAACACAUGCAAGUCGAACGGCAGCACAGUAAGAGCUUGCUCUUACGGGUGGCGAGUGGCGGACGGGUGAGGAAUACAUCGGAAUCUACUUUUUCGUGGGGGAUAACGUAGGGAAACUUACGCUAAUACCGCAUACGACCUACGGGUGAAAGCAGGGGAUCUUCGGACCUUGCGCGAUUGAAUGAGCCGAUGUCGGAUUAACUAGUUGGCGGGGUAAAGGCCCACCAAGGCGACGAUCCGUAGCUGGUCUGAGAGGAUGAUCAGCCACACUGGAACUGAGACACGGUCCAGACUCCUACGGGAGGCAGCAGUGGGGAAUAUUGGACAAUGGGCGCAAGCCUGAUCCAGCCAUACCGCGUGGGUGAAGAAGGCCUUCGGGUUGUAAAGCCCUUUUGUUGGGAAAGAAAAGCAGCAGGUUAAUACCCCGCUGUUCUGACGGUACCCAAAGAAUAAGCACCGGCUAACUUCGU